GGGGGUGUAAAGGUUUCGACAGGGGUUGUGAGCCUUGGUAAGCGAGUAGUGGUGCGGAGCCACUAUAAAAGCCGUAUUUUUAAAUAAUAAACGACAACAAUAAAGUUGCAUUAGCUGCCUAAGUUGCAGCUCGUCACUCCGGGAAGCACCACGGUCCCUUUAGUGGCGUCGAUUAGUGGUAAAUGUGAACAGGGUAUUGCCUUGAACCUUGUCAUAAAUUAAAGGCUACCGUAGCACAAAGCCUGUUGGUGGGCGUUGUGCGAGGGGAAUCCUAAUACAUUAACUACACUCGUAGAAAGCCUUGUCAAACGACUUUUGGACAGGAGUUCGACUCUCCUCACCUCCACCA
This is a non-coding RNA of Clostridium sp. CAG:964, 349 nucleotides long. It matches the Rfam family "transfer-messenger RNA". Rfam says of the family: Bacterial tmRNA, also known as 10Sa RNA or SsrA, is named for its dual tRNA and mRNA-like properties. Its role is to liberate the mRNA from a stalled ribosome. To accomplish this part of the tmRNA is used as a reading frame that ends in a translation stop signal. The record is from Rfam. NCBI's taxonomy places the organism in Bacteria, Bacillati, Bacillota, Clostridia, Eubacteriales, Clostridiaceae.